Molecule: long non-coding RNA, 4245 nt
Organism: Melanotaenia boesemani (Boeseman's rainbowfish)
Lineage: Eukaryota; Metazoa; Chordata; Actinopteri; Atheriniformes; Melanotaeniidae
Exons: 7
Source: RefSeq, a predicted model, not a curated record
GCCAAUGAGUGUGUAUACAUACACCAGUCAGACAUAACAUUAUGACCACCUGCCUAACACUGUGGACACGAGUCAGUGCAGCAGUUUGUUGGCACUCGUGUCACUCUGCAGCUCACACACCAGUUUGUGUUUCUCUUUGCUUCCAUAUUUAUACCAUCUGAAAGGGCACAAAUGUGUCCAUCAUUUAGUGAUAAGAAUAUGUAAAAUGAGUGAAAACUGUGGUUGUGAGAAGAAGGUGGAGAGAGUUUUUUACACAUAUUCAACAGCCUCCACAGUCUAGGUGUGAUAUCACUACCAUAGCCACUGAAUGUUUGUCUUCAUAGAGACCAAUGGACAAUAUUUCUCAUUUUCAACCAUUUUAACAAAGAUUCAAACUAACUUCAAUCUUUUACAAAGUACCAAUAGAAUUUAAACAUUUAAUAAACAGUAGAUCAGCCUCAUCAUCAGUGAGACUUGGGUGUCCAUGUCCCUGGUAGGUACUGACCACUGCAGACCAGGAACACCCAACAAGACCUGCAGUCUGGGAGAUGCUCUGACCCAGUCGUCUAGACAUCACAAUCUGACCCUUGUCAAAGUCACUCAACUCUUACAUUUGCCCAUUUUUCCUGCUUCCAACACAUUAACUUUGAGGACUGAUAAUUAACUUGCGCCCUAAUACACCCCACACACCGACAGGUUCCACUGUGACUGUAACAUAUUGUGUUGCAGUAAUAUGUUGAUUGGUUUGUCCACCAGAUGGCGCACGGCACUAAUGUUCUGUUAUGGAAAUCCCCUUAGAGAUGAAGGCGGAAGGUACGGUGGCCGACAGGUGGAAACGCCCCUGCAUAAAUAAAGCCAACUGCAAGAAAUAAAACGCUGCAAAUUCACUGACACAACAGAAGAGCUCCGGGUUUCUGGGCCCCGCGGUGCGUUUUCACCGGAGAGAAAAGACAACGAUGAGGUGGGAAGUUUGAGCAGAGCGCAGAGAGAAACUACAUCAAAGUUCUGGGAAGUGGGGGCGCUACAAAUGGAACAAUAUGAAGGAAAAGAAAAGAUCCACCAUCUCUGACAUAACCUUCCAGACGCUGCAAACUGUCCUCUUUCUUUCCCACAGAUGCCCAUUCUGUGGAUCGAUGGUAACAGGUUCCCCGGCCUUUUGUUGUGGAUGUGGGAGAAAUAUUUAGUUUCUAAAAGAUGCUGCAAACAACACUCCUGUCGAGAUGCCCACUGGCAGUGGACAUCCCUAAUAAGUACAUUUAGGCACCAUGUUGUUUAGUUGCAAGCAUAAGGUGUUCUAAAAUACCUGCAAUGAAGUUUAAUGAUUAAAAUUGUAGUAAGGUCAAAGGGGAUCUGUGAUUCAAAUUGUCCUGCUCCAUAGUUUAUCCACCACAAGAGUUUUGCACGAGUCUUUGUUAGGAUUUUAAUUUUUACUUAUUUAGUAUUGGCUCUUAAAUGCAGCCCCUCAGUUUAGCUGUCUUUAUGUCUUUAUCUGAAACUGUUAUAGCUCUACAGGAGCUGUCCUGAUCAGUUAGCUCCUGAGGAUUUUUUCUAUUUCUGGAGCAAUGAACAAAUCAUGUAUAGUAACUAAGGGUUUGUGAGCAUUUGGAAUUAAGGAUAUUUUACAAAAUGACAUCAGCUCAGGCUUAAAAAUCCAGCAGAGGCUGAUGUCUUCUUUGCUCAGGGAUUAAUUUGUCAUACAUUUAAACGUUGGUCAUGUUCUACUUUCUCUUUGUAGCAGUAAGAUCAGGUGUAGAGUCCUUUCUCAAAUUUAGGGAAAUAAAAGAGAGGGAGAGAGACAUUUUCAAAGACACGUCUUAAGUCUAAGAAGGGACAGAAAAAAAUGAAGGCUUGCUCACACACUCGUUGACCAACAGACAUUCAUAUACUGUAAAAUAAAAGACUGUAUCAAUAAGUUAAAUGUUAUUUAUUUCUUUUUUCUUCCAUUUCUUUAGAUUUAUGUAGGAUUAAUGAGGAUGAAUGGUGACACCUUGAAGCCUGUUAGAGGAAAGUCACUUCCGCUUGGCAUUCAACCCCAGUGGUCUGAACAGCUGCUGCCACAAGGAAACACAAAGAAAGAAACUUUCUUGUUUGACUGGUGUCUUAGGUUUCAUAGGUGACAAGUAACACAAUAUAAAUAUCAGAAAGAGCAUUCAAACAGUUUAUGUGUUAAAGUAAAGAGAUUGGUCUUUUGUGCUACAGUGAAAAGUACUAAGAUGAAGGGGAUAUUAAAGCCAACACUUAUGUACAGCAACCACUUCAGUCUAAUAUUUAAACAUAUUUGAUAUAUAGAAAUUGAAAAUGUAACUUUUGAUUACAGGUAAGACUUGAUAAUGACAAUCAUUGUUUUUCCAAGGUUAUGAUGGACAGUCAAGUGAAGAUGACAGCGUGGUCCAAGUUAAUUUUCCAUCUGCAGAGAGUCCACUUUCUGACACUGUGGUGUGUGACCUUCCAGAUGGUGCGAGCACUCCAAGAAUAGAAAACAUUUUGCAUGGAUAAAACACAACAAAACACAUAUCCAAAAACCAUCUUGUGCAGGUGCUGAGCCAAAAAAAGGCGACAAAUAUGCAACAAAAAAUUACAACCUUACAGAAACACACAACCCAAUCAAGUAAGAAUGUUGUGUUGCGUUCUGGAUAUGACAUUAAAUAAACUCAUAAACUUGUAAAACCAACCUACACAUGAUGUGUACUCUGUUGGUUUCUAAGCAAAUUGUUCUGUCAUGAGAUUAACUGUACUAAUAUUUUUUUCGGUGAACUAUGUUGGAGGACGAAAUGAACAAGUCCAGGAAGAAAUCAAAUCCUCUGAGGGUCAGAAGUGCUGUAGCACAUAUACAAAUGUAUGUGCAUCCAUCAUCAUUGACAGUGAAAUUGACAAACGCUGACAUUGAAGCCAAGCUGGAAGAUAUAACUGAUGAUACCAUGAGAGCUUCCCUGCUUGAGAUUCAAGGAUGGACUUUCAGCAUUGGAUGUUAUUCAUUCUUUGGAGCAGCAUGCAUCUGUCUUCAGGGCCUUUAUGUGUGCAAGCAAGGAACAGCUCACAUCUGCAAAAGUUGAAGAAAUCUUUGAGGUCCAACUGAGCGGAAAAGACGACUGAAAGAAACAAAAGUUUCUGGAGAGAUUAUCUUCUUGAAACAGAAGAAAAACAAACUGGACUCUCCCUCCGGGACAUCCUGAUGUUCACCACUGGGUUAAACACUCUGCCUCCUGCAGGAUUUCAGCCACAGUCCAGACAGAUUUUUCUGGAGACGUCUCGCUUUCCUAUCAGCAGCACCUGUACAAACACAAUCAAAACACCAAUGUCCAAAACUUAUGAACAGUUUCAGAAUGACAUGGACUUUGGAAUAAAAAAUUCACCAGGCUUUGGACUAAUAGAGCCUGAGGGUUCUUUCCUUUCAACCAUUUAAGGCAGUUAGUACCUCCAUUUUCAACUUGUGUCAAACUCACAUUUCAUUACAAAUCUGCCAUGUUCUUCAGUCUGAUAUAGUUUUCCACACAGGACUCCCAGGUUAAUGGCUGUCUCACACCACUCUGUCUCUGUAGGCCCUCAAAGUGUGCCUGAGAUGGUCAUCCCCACAUGGACUGUAUGGUGAUCUGUCCAUAAACUGAAAUAGUUCCUCCAGGGAGACAGAGAACCCACACCUGGUUCCUCCACACCUGAGAGUAAAAUGUGCACAUUAGAUUUAAUUUACAUUAUUUUGUUUUGAGCCAACUGGUAUGCUGUAAUUCUUUGUGUUUGGGCAGCAAAUGUGUUUUGUGGUUUUACUUUAAACUGUUUUCAAGAUUUCUGCAUCAAGUAUGUAAAUAAACAUUUUGUUUACACUUGAGAUUCAUAAAGAUUAUUAGUCCAGGUGAAAUAAAAUAAUCUUUCACAGUCAAAAAUUAAUCUAAUUUUUAGAGGUUAAUUUGGUAAAUGUCUGGAAAAAUAAAAUUAGAAGAAACCAGCCUGUGAGGCAGGUCAUACAUGGCGUUUGGUUUUCCAGAUGGACAGCGAGACUGUUUAACAGGUCUGAUGCUGUGUGUGUUCCAUUUUUCUCGCCAUUCAUCAAGGUCCUGCUGAAGGAAACUCAUGAACACAAACCUCACGAGGCAUUUGUGCUCAUGACUGCUGCUGAACAGAUUUCUCUCCCUCAGGUCGUUCAUCAGGUCCAUCCAGAACUGAGACCUGCACACAGACUCAAGUUAGAACUCUGUCCUGCAUGUUUCCCUGCUUGAACACACCUGCAGUGAAACAUAUAAAACAUGCAGGGCAGAGGGCCCUGAGGACCAG